UACGAGGGAUCCUAGCGUUGUUCGGAAUCAUUGGGCGUAAAGGGUGCGUAGGUGGCCUUGCAAGUCAGUUGUGAAAUCCCCGGGCUCAACCCGGGAAGUGCUUCUGAUACUGCUUGGCUUGAGUAUUGGAGAGGUGAGUGGAAUUCCAGGUGUAGUGGUGAAAUACGUAGAUAUCUGGAGGAACACCGGCGGCGAAGGCGGCUCACUGGCCAUAUACUGACACUGAAGCACGAAAGCGUGGGGAGCAAACAGG
RNAcentral lists this ribosomal RNA (253 nucleotides) under uncultured bacterium. RNAcentral describes it as "partial 16S ribosomal RNA". It matches the Rfam family "Bacterial small subunit ribosomal RNA", at positions 524 to 776 of the family's 1533-position model. The record is from RNAcentral.